This 444-nucleotide ribosomal RNA is filed under the name uncultured bacterium. RNAcentral describes it as "partial 16S ribosomal RNA". It matches the Rfam family "Bacterial small subunit ribosomal RNA", at positions 339 to 795 of the family's 1533-position model. The record is from RNAcentral.
CUACGGGGCGCUGCAGUGGGGAAUAUUGCACAAUGGGCGCAAGCCUGAUGCAGCAACGCCGCGUGGGGGACGAAGGCCUUCGGGUUGUAAACCUCUUUUAGUAGGGAAGAAGCGCAAGUGACGGUACCUACAGAAAAAGCACCGGCUAACUACGUGCCAGCAGCCGCGGUAAUACGUAGGGUGCAAGCGUUGUCCGGAAUUAUUGGGCGUAAAGAGCUCGUAGGCGGUUUGUCGCGUCUGCUGUGAAAAUCCGAGGCUCAACCUCGGACCUGCAGUGGGUACGGGCAAACUAGAGUGCGGUAGGGGAGAUUGGAAUUCCUGGUGUAGCGGUGGAAUGCGCAGAUAUCAGGAGGAACGCCAAUGGCGAAGGCAGAUCUCUGGGCCGUAACUGACGCUGAGGAGCGAAAGCGUGGGGAGCGAACAGGAUUAGAUACCCUUGUAGUC